This 47-nucleotide ribosomal RNA is filed under the name Fusarium oxysporum. Its description in RNAcentral is "partial 18S ribosomal RNA". It matches the Rfam family "Eukaryotic small subunit ribosomal RNA", at positions 1785 to 1831 of the family's 1831-position model. The record is from RNAcentral. RNAcentral also lists the same sequence under 1 other name. Lineage: Eukaryota; Fungi; Ascomycota; Sordariomycetes; Hypocreales; Nectriaceae.
AAAAUCGUAACAAGGUCUCCGUUGGUGAACCAGCGGAGGGAUCAUUA